CUUACCAUCCAUCCUGUGCCCGGCCAGGUCGGGUGAGGCGCGGUGCGGAGGGAAGGUGUUUCGUGCUGGUCUUGGCGUUGGUUGCCGGGGGAGCGCCUUGGAUGCUCGUGUUGUCGAGGCUCGGCUUUGGCGGGUGGGAAGAAGAGGCCCCAGAUAAGGGUUCCUCGAGGGCUGCGGCGUUCUCUGACUGAUGUGUGGAAAGAGGAAGCCCUUGCUGCCUUUCGUCCCAAGAGCUCCUCAAGUUCUGCAGUUUUUCCCUGGAGAUGAUUGUGGAAGUUGCAUCCCAGCUCCUGAGAGAAGACUCAGCCAACACUGGCCCCUGUUGUUAAAUGAAUUCCGUGUCACCCACCUCAGUGCAGUACUUAAACCAGGAUGAGCUGGGCCACUCAGAUGGAAGACAGCUUUUUAAUUCCAGGGCCAGCAGGCAAGGAGCAAGCUACCAAGGACUCUUUCCUGGAGGAGGUGCCGCCCACAGCCAGCAGAGUGAACCUGACGAAGUGGACAAAAUCAAAAGCAAGCUUCUCUCUACUUGGAACAAUGUAAAAUACGGAUGGACAGUCAAGACUAAAACCAAUUUCAGCAAACUUUCCCCAGUCUACCUCUUUGGACAUCGAUACAACUUUGGACAAGAGGAGGAUGUGGAGGGCUUCCAGAAAGACUUCGCUUCCCGCAUCUGGCUGACCUAUCGCCGGGACUUUCAGCAGCUGGAGGGAACUAUGUGGACCACAGACUGUGGCUGGGGCUGCAUGCUACGCAGUGGGCAGAUGCUGCUGGCGCAAGGCCUCCUUGUCCAUUUUCUUAGCAGAGACUGGAUCUGGCCAAAUGCCCUUUUUACCACCCGUGUGGCAGAGACGGAGCUUCCUGUGAAACUGCUUUCCCUACCCUGCCCCAACACAGCCAAUUUGCAUCAUGAUCCACCCAUUCCCACUGAUGGUAGCAGGAGUCCCUGGGAGCUACAAGCUGCUCAGCAUACCUGUAGUCCUGAUGAACUGGAGAAUGAACGCUAUCACCGAAAGAUUGUCUCGUGGUUUGCAGAUCAGCCUCAAGCACCCUUUGGGAUCCACCGUCUAGUUGAUCUGGGGCGUAGUUCAGGGAAGAAAGCUGGGGAUUGGUAUGGGCCCUCUGUUGCUGCUCACAUCAUCAGGAAAGCAGUGGAUUGCUGUUCAGAAGCAGGCAAUCUGGUGGUAUAUGUGUCUCAGGACUGCACAGUGUACAAAGGGGAUGUGGCAAACCUGGCCAACAGGAGUGAAGGCAGGUCCGCAUGGGAUGCUGGUGUAGAGUGGAAAGCAGUCAUCAUCCUGGUGCCCAUGCGAUUGGGUGGAGAGACUUUUAACCCUGCCUACGUGGAGUGUGUCAAGGAGCUUCUGAAGCUAGAUUUCUGCAUUGGAAUCAUUGGAGGAAAACCAAAGCAUUCACUCUACUUUGUUGGAUUUCAAGAUGACUCCCUUCUGUACCUGGACCCCCACUACUGCCAGCCCUUUGUGGACACCACCAAGGAGAACUUUUCCCUGGAGUCCUUCCAUUGCAACUCCCCCCGGAAAACAGCCUUCACCAAAGUGGAUCCCAGCUGCACCAUUGGCUUCUAUGCUCGUCACAGAAGAGAAUUUGAACAUCUGUGCCAGGAACUGACUCAGGUCCUAAACACAGCCACCGCCAAAGAGAGGUAUCCUAUGUUUUCAAUUGUGGAGGGCUGCUCUCAGGAGUAUGGCUUGGAGGAGUUGUGUGCCCGGUUUUCCCAGCAAACAGUGCAAGUCCAACGGCCCAGCAAGCGUGGCAGGACAAAAAAGGCUACCAUGGAGGAAUUUGUUGUCUUAUGAUUGCUGAUCGAGCAGCCCCGACACUUCUGACUAUUUAUUUUUUAUUUAUAUAGAUAAUGCAGGCCCAAAGUGGAGCUGCCUGGUUCUUAGGUCUAAGGAAGAGGUAUCUGUAUCAUAUCUGCACAGUAACAGUCCUUGCUAUUCCAGUCUGUGGCACCGUGGCUCUUCCUCAUAGGAGAGACUGAACAUGAACUGUGCUGAGGACACCAAACUUGUGGAAACCUGUUCCAAUUUAAAAACUGCUACUUGAUGGAAGUCAUGACACUGGGCCAUCCUGCUGAACAGGGGCAAGAGAUAUUUAGCACUAAAAUGAUUGCAAAUCCUUUUUAAAGUGGGCAGCUAACAUGAGAGGAGGUGGUGGUUUUGGACUAGUUUCAGGUUCUCUCUUUUCUGCUGAGAUACCAAGGCAUCUUAACUAUUUGGAGUGUCCAUUCUUGAACUCAGGAACAGGCUAUUAAUCCUUCAGUUGCUGCUGUCUGUCAGACUUGAGGUUCAUGGCUACUCCACAUCUGCUGUUGCUUCUUUACACCAGGGCUAGAAUUGUCUCGCUCUCGGGCCAUUGUAAUGAAGGGGAGAAGGCACAGCCUGGCCUAUCUUAUUUUAAAUUGAGAGUCCACUUAUGCCUCAAAUGACAGCUCUGGGUCCAGAAGCACCCCCAAGCUAUGAAUUUUGUCCUUUAGGGGGAGUGCCACCCCACCUAGAACAGAUGGAAUAUCAGCCAACUCAACAGACAAGCCACCCACAGACAGCACCUCCUUCUUGCCUGGGUUGAACCUCUGUUGGCCGUCAUCCAGUCCAUUACCAUGCUCAGACAUUGAUUCAGAGUGGCCACUGCCUGACUUGAUGAAAAAGAGUGUUAUCUGCAUAUUGGUGAUACCUCAGCCCAUAUCUCUGGAUAACCUCCCCAAGUUGUUUCAUGUAGGGGAUAAAAUGGAACCAUGUUCACCGUGGCACAAAGCAGUAAUCCCCCAACACCACCUUCUGGAAUCGGUGGGUCAGGUAGGAGUGGAAUCGCUGCAAGGCAGUGCCUCCUUUGCCCAACCCAGCCUGCUUAUCCAGAAGGAUACUAUGGUCGAUGGUACUGAAACCUGCUAAGAGGACUACAUAAAUCAACAGGGCUGCACUCCCCCCGUCUUUCUCCCAGCAUCGGGCAACCAAGGCAGUUUCCAUUCUAAAACUGUUCCUAAAGCCUGAGUGAAAUGGAUCUAGAUCAAGGUGAUCCAACUUUUCAUACCUCUAGGGCUGCAUGAGGAACCUGGGGGGCACAUAAUGAAUUAAAUUCCAUAUUGUACAUUGCAAUAUCUUUUAUAUACACAAUAUAACCAUUUAAAAAGGAGAAUUAAUUUUAGGACUAAUUGAAUGAACAAGAAUGCAAUGUGGAUAGCUCCUCCAGUGACUGCAGCCCACGCACAAUGGUUGGCUCAUCCCUUUCUUCCCUGUUCCUCUGGCCCAGAAACCCUCCCAUGUGACCCCCAGCCCUGCCUGCCUACUUGGAAUUGGAGUGCUGAGCCUCUUGUACUUGAGCCAGUGAAAGUUUCCCAGCAUGACUCGCCCACUCCUGCUGAUGAGCUCAGAGGUGCUUGGCUCCUGAGUGCCUUUGCACUCAUCGGCUGGAGCAGUGCAGGGCAUACCGGGACUAACUCUCCUGAGGCCAGCAUCCCAUCCCGCUCUCUCCUGAAGGAGAAAGCAAGACGGGCUGGCUGCCUUGCAAGAGCUGGCCACAAGGAUGCUCAUGCUGUUGCUGGAAUCGACUGCGGAGGGGAUGGCAGGGGGCUCUGAGCAGCAAGGGAGCUGUGGAACAAGCUGCUGCUUGUGCAGCUCAUGGGCCACGUGUUGGACCACCCCACUCUAGAUAAUCUGCAACCUCUUCCUCUUUGUUUCUUCAGGUCUUCAUUCUAUACCUUAUUGCUACAGAUAUGUCUGCCAAAGAUACUUUAUUCAGUUGUAUAUAAAUCACUUAACUAAUAUAGUAAUAUAUCAGCCCUUUA
RNA transcript from Varanus komodoensis (Komodo dragon), 3805 nucleotides. It is a transcript of the gene named autophagy related 4D cysteine peptidase, with no coding region annotated. The transcript is spliced from 12 exons. The record is from RefSeq and is a predicted model, not a curated record. Lineage: Eukaryota; Metazoa; Chordata; Lepidosauria; Squamata; Varanidae.